This 933-nucleotide ribosomal RNA is filed under the name bacterium. Its description in RNAcentral is "bacterial SSU rRNA". It matches the Rfam family "Bacterial small subunit ribosomal RNA", at positions 54 to 974 of the family's 1533-position model. The record is from RNAcentral.
ACUGCAAGUCGAGCGAACAGAAGGGAGCUUGCUCCUUUGACGUUCGCGGCGGACGGGUGAGUAACACGUGGGUAACCUACCUAUGAGAGUGGGACAACUUCGGGAAACCGGAGCUAAUACCGGAUAAUAUGUUGAAGCGCGGGGUUCAGUAGAGAAAGAUGGUUUUGCUAUCACUUAUAAAUGGACCCGCGCCGUAUUAGCUAGUUGGUGAGGUAACGGCUCACCAAGGCACCAAUACGUAGCCAACCUGAGAGGGUGAUCGGCCACACUGGAACUGAAACACGGCCCAAACUCCUACGGGAGGCACCGUUAGGGAAUCUUCCGCAUGGGGGAAAAGCCUGACGGAUCAACCCCGCGUGAGUGAUGAAGGUCUUAGGAUCGUAAAAUUCUGUUAUUAGGGAAAAACAAACGUGUAAGUAACUGCCCGCCUUAACGGUACCUAAUCAAAAAGCCACGGCUAACUACGUGCCAGCAGCCGCGGUAAUACGUAGGUGGCAAGCGUUAUCCGGAAUUAUUGGGCGUAAAGCGCGCGUAGGCGGUUUUUUAAGUCUGAUGUGAAAGCCCACGGCUCAACCGUGGAGGGUCAUUGGAAACUGGAAAACUUGAGUGCAGAAAAGGAAAGUGGAAUUCCAUGUGUAGCGGUGAAAUGCGCAAAGAUAUGGAGGAACACCAGUGGCGAAGGCGACUUUCUGGUCUGUAACUGACGCUGAUGUGCGAAAGCGUGGGGAUCAAACAGGAUUAGAUACCCUGGUAGUCCACGCCGUAAACGAUGAGUGCUAAGUGUUAGGGGGUUUCCGCCCCUUAGUGCUGCAGCUAACGCAUUAAGCACUCCGCCUGGGGAGUACGACCGCAAGGUUGAAACUCAAAGGAAUUGACGGGGACCCGCACAAGCGGUGGAGCAUGUGGUUAUUCGAACAACGCGAAAAACCUUAC